CGUAGGUUCAAGCCCCACUGGGACCAAAAUUUUUUCCCCAUAUUUUCCUUUUUUUCUAGUAAGUUUUUACUUCUUUCAAGACUUAUUAUGAAUGCAUUGUAUAAAAGUGGAAAAUUUUCAUUAUAUAAGCGAUUUCGUGCUGUUCAAAGUGAAUUUACAUCUGAAUCAGGAGGAGUAGAGUUAGACAUCUUUAAAAAUACUGAGUUACAUGAGGUACAAGUUCUCUAUUUUUACUUCAUUCUUUAGAUUACAUACUGUGGAAGAAAUGCAGGUAGGUUUUACUUCUGCCUCAAGGUUAUUUUUGAAUGUAGUGAGCAAAAUUCAAAACAGACCUACAGGAUUCGACCUUAAUUUUCAAUGUUGGAGUUAGAAUUCUGUCUCAUUAAAUCUGUUUAUUUGAGGCACACUUGAAAAAAAAAUAUAUUUACAGUUUUAUUUUGUGUUUUACAAUUGUUUAACAAUAGAUUGAAGUUUAUUUUAUCAAAAUUAAUGCUGUAAUGAAUUUUCUGCAAACGUUUUAGAUAGUGGCCAUCACAUUGAAAUUUGUCUCUACUUUAGUUUGAGGAAAUACCAUAAAUUAUACAAAAUUUACAAAAAACGGCACGGUAAAAGUUGUUUAAAAUUUGCAACACAGUGCAAAACAUGGUCAGCCUUAAGAAUAUACCAAGCAAAAGCCAUUUUUAAACAUUACUAUUAGGGGUCCAAUACCUCAAUAUUAUCUAAAACACGUAUCUUGAAAUUAAAUCAAGAAUAGGGACAAACAUACUAGAAUAUUCUCGGUUUUCCCCUUGUAUGAACGGUGUUAGACAAGGCAAGGUAAACAUUUUUCUCCUCUAUGUGAAAACAGCGCUGACCUUAAGAAAAGUUUAAAUGUAUUUGAGGAUUGAAGGGACUGACCUUCAGAUUUUUGCUAAAAAUGAUCUUUCUUUGAAUUGAAGUUUGGUCAUAUCAUGAGCAUUAGAAUAUGAGUUUUUGUUUCUAAUCUAUCUUAAAAAUGCCAAAUCAAGAAAAAAAAACGAUGCCCACGUCGGGAAACGAACACGGGCUGCCGUGGCAAUACAAACUUCUCCGCUGUCUUUACCAAUACCGCCACGGAGGAUUAUGUAAUUGACACAUUAGAUAUCGAAAUUUAUAAUUGAGUCAGUUUACCUCGACUAAAGCGUUACAAACGUUUUUCGAUUUUCAUUGCAACGAUUAGUAAAAACAACUAAUUCUCAUGUGUUUCCAUAACAUAUAGUCUAUCAGUAAUUAAGUUUCAAAGCUUUCAUAAGAAAUAUAGCAUUAGUUUCCUAAUACAUAUUUUUUUUCUUGUUUUGUUGUCCUACUAUAUUGAGGUCAGUGCCUUAAUGUCAGCAGUAGAAACUAGAAGUCAAUACACAAAAAGAACUAAAGAUCUUGUCUCUGGCUCAAGGAGUAAAACAUAUAGAAAUCUUUUCAAAUUUAAAGAUAAUAAAAGAAUAUAAAUAUCUCGGUAUCUAUUUAUCAAAAAGUAUAAGUAUCAUUAGAACUAAACAUUACAUUGCAGAACAGGUAAAUAUGGCCAUGUUCUCAAGAAGACAAUACGCCUUAAUUUAACAUUGAUCUGCAUGUCGAUCUGCAUAAUAAAGAUAUUAAACAUAUUUAGUUAUACGGGUGUGAGAUAUGAGGCUUUUCGAAUAAUAAAGACAUUGAAACGGUACAGCCAAAAAAUAAAAUGGCCAUCUGAAAAAGUCAACAACAUGACUAAUGGUAGAUGUAGAACUAGAUGUCACACCCUUACAACUAGACAUUAAUAUUAGAAUGAUAAGUACCUGAGUAAACCAACUUAUAGCACAAGAAAUAGGUUAUCUUAUACAGGAACACGAAAAAUUAAAUUUAGAAUGGUUAAUCUAUAUAUUCUAUAAGUAUUUAGUAACGUAAAAUAGGUUUGGAACUAUAUGGAAUAAACAUACUGAAAGGAAUAGGAAAUGGUUUCUAGUGAUUUUAAAGCAAAAGAUUAAUGAUCAAUAUAGAUCUAUACAAAAAAUGAAAAAUAUAUCAGAAUCAACAAGCAGCUAUAAUCAUAAACUAUUUAAGGACAAUUUUAGAAAGAAGAACUAUUUUCAUUUAUUACCAAACUGUAUGUAUAGAGAAUAUUGUGAUUUAAAUUAAGUGAGUCAAAGAAGUUAUAAAAAUCGAGGCUCUGUCGAGGCUUUUUAUGUUUUCAUAGACGAACUUAAUAAAUUUAGAUUUAUAAGACAGUAUCCUAAUGUUCUAUUUAUCCUACCUUCUGAUCUAAAAUCAUUCUUUAAUGAAAGUUCAAAAUUUACAACUAGAUCUGAGUCUGCCUUGCAUAGAAAUUUAAAAAUUAAUACGCCCACCAAAUUACACAAAUAUGUCUAUAAAAUCCCAAAUAUUAUAACAUAAAAGCUGAAAAAAAAAGACUAACCUUGUUUUGUUUUGUACCCGACCUCUCUGUUCUGCUGAACAUGAAUGAAUAAUUUUAAUUUGCUACCAACUGAGGUUGCGCCCGAGGUUCAGUUGCAAGUCGGAUGUACCCAUUUUCAUCACGCAAACGUUAGACGUGACAUAUACACACGCCAUAACGCCGCUUGACAGAAAAAAUAGGCAAACCGUUUCCUCAAUGGUUUUAUUCAAUAACAGUCCAUUCCAAAUGCAAUAUAUUCCUUGAUUUAAGUGCCUGAACCCAAACGCUGUACACGAGUCAUUUUUCCGUUUUCUCCGAGUGUUUCCGUUAUAAAAGCUUUUUGUGGUAAUUGCAAAUAAGGUAUGCAUACGCUAUACAUUUGUGACAUGGUCUCACGUACCUAAUAAAAGCGCGUUUAUAAAAUAAUUGCAUACAUAUGUCUUUUGGCAGUUAUUUUUAAAAGCAAGAUGGAGUCGUUUUAAAAAAGAAAUCCAAAAAGUAGUCCGCCAAGCUUUAUCAAAUCACUGACCAGAUAAAGCCAAAUUUAUCAUACCCCUUGGUUUUUGCCUUUAUUUUGCAUGAAGGUAGGAUAAAAAAAAUAACAGCUUAACAAACUCCCAUUUGAAAUUGGUAGGUCGACAGGGUUACCAUUAGCUGAAAGGAAAUGUGGACAAUGUGAUCUAAAUGAACUAGGAUAACUGUACAAAUGUAUAUCUAUUCGAAACUCAAACAUAAUAAAAUGUUCUCAACUCUUAAGCAGUGGUAAUAAAUGUGAAUUAUUAAGACCAUGUAAGUUUUUGGAUCAUGUUAUGAAAACUGUAAAAAAUACCCUUCAGGUUAUUGAGAAACCAGUAUCAAGUUUUAAACAUGUUUUUUAUACAGUGACAUUUGAUCAGUGUUGAAUUUUGUAUGGUGUAUUUGUGUUUUAUAAGUUUGAGUAAAUGUGACAAUAGUUUAGUCUGUAGUGUAUAAUGAUAAUUAGAAAAUAACUAACCAGUAUAUGUAUGUUUUUCUAUCAUCACUGUAUGUAAAUUAAUUUUAUCAUUCUAUGCUUCUACUUUUAUUAUCAAAUGUAUAUGUGAUAGUUAUUAUGUAUUGCAAUAGUGGACGCAACUUGACCCCGAUGGUUGAUCUUUGCAUUAUAAUACAUAAUGAGGCACAACCUAUUAUUGAAAAGGAGUGUGCGUAAAACACGAGCUGCACGAGAAAACAAGAAAAUAUAAAUUUGUGUAAAUAUAAAUUAGUGUAUUGGAAAGUUUUAAAGGAUCAAAUGUAAGUAUAUAUACUAAUAAACUUUGAUAAUGUGGCAGUUUAGUCCAAUAAGUCAAGAGGUGUUCAAAGAUAAUCCGUCAUAACAUUAUCUUGAGGAUAUAUUGCAAAGUAAUUAUUAUUACCUGUAUUUGAAAAUAAACAGUGUCGAUUGUAUUGAGGUCAACUGCCACAUUAUCAAAGUUUAUUAGUACUUUGAUACUGCACCGUAAACAAACUAAUUUCAUAUAAAUAAACACGGCUACCCUUGACUUCUAUAAUGAAAUAAUCUAUAUGAAUAAUCAACCUAAGGUCAACCAUCGCGGUCUAGUUGCGACUACUGUACAAACUUGCAUUGUUGUCAUUUGUCUGUUAUCCCUUUACUCCAUAGAUACGCUUUUUACCACCUCUAUCCAUUCCCUGAUAGAUACCCUUUUUACCACCUCUAUCCAUUCCCUGAUAGAUACUCUUUUUGACGCCUUCAAGUUUAAAAGCAAAUUAUGAAUAAAGUACAACAUCAAGGAAUCCCACAAAAGCAUUUUUGUAAAGUUUAAACCAUGUACAAAUGAUAUCUGUCAAAAAAUAUAUGGUUUAUAUUUGAUUUUUAAUGGUAAUUUAAACCUGAAAUGAGGUAGUGUAUUUGUGGAAAAUUACCGUGAGGAAAGUUUCAUCUUGAGCUAAAAUUAGCCUGAUUAAGGCUAAUUAUACCCCCAAGUUUAUCUUUACAAAUUAUGAAUUUGUGUAGUACUUAUUUGUACAAAUUGUGAAUUUGUGCAAGCUAAAAAUAGUACUGUAUUUUUUUUUUAGGUUUCCGCAUUUCCCAGGUGAUUUAGAAAGCGGAACUUUUUUUUUUCAAUGGACUUAUAUAAAAAAUAUACACUUUAUGAUAGAUUAAAAAAGUAACUGUUGCAAAUACAUAUUGGUCUGAUUUACCCUGAAGACAAAUUAACCUGCUGCACUAAGGAAUUUUAUGACAUAUGUCUGUAUAUUACCUAUCAGUGUGGGGUAUGGUUGAUUGGGGUGAUCUUUGGAUAACUGGCGUGUGCUAUGGAUAAUUGUAGGCAACUUUGAAGUUAAUCCAAUUAAGAAAUUUUACUGAUAAGUGUUUUUAUAAGCUGAUAAAAUUGCUUUUGAUCAAUUAUUCUUAUAAAAACAUUAUGUAACUAAUUAUACCUGGGGAAAACUUAACAAACCUGAGGGUGUCAAAUAUGCAAAUUAAUCAUACAAAUUACAAGACUUGGUAAAAAAAAUUAAAAAGCUGAUUAUAAUUUGCAUGGGAAAAUAAAAAUGCAGAAUUUCUUAAAAACAUAUUUAAAAAAAAAGAGAAUCAGAUAAAAAAAUAACAAUACUGUCAUAAAUACUAAUAAAAAGGAAAACAAAAAUAAGUUGGCAGUAACAAAUGUGUUUUUCUUUCUUUUUAUUACUUUUUAAAAGCCCUUGACUUGAUAAAUCCUUGAAGAAAUCCCUUUUUAGCCAGCCUUUGUCUUGAAUCUAAUAAAAUAAUUUUAUUUACACCAGAAAUAUUUUCAAAAUAAUAUUAAAUAUGUAAAAAUGCAGAAAUAAAUAAGUACCAUCAAUAGAAAAGUAACUAAAAUUAUUAUAGAAAAGUAUACUAAUGGGUUUAAAGCUUUGUAUGUCAAGAAAUAUUUAUCACACUUUUAUGUAAAAUGUACCAUUAGAAAGAAAAUUUAAUUGUGAAAAAACUUUAUGUUGGUUACUAAGUGUUUAAAACAAUAUUAAAUAUAGUAAUAUUGAAUUGAAUAACACAGGUAUAAAUUCUGCAUUUUUUUCCAAAUAUCCAGUAUGGAGAUAGUGUACUGAUUAUCAGUAAAGCUGUAUGGAUAUGAUAAGCCUAAUUAGGCUUAAUGUAUAUGGAGUAAAGGGUUAUACAAUGUAUGUCAAGUAUACUUAACAUCAUUAAACUUUAGCCAGUUGAAGUGAUUUUGCCUUUGCGACCAGUGCAGAUCAAGAUCAGCCUGCAUUUUCGUCCUUGCAGGCUAAUCAUGGUCUGCACUGUUUGCUACUCAGUCAGUCAAUUAUCAGUGCAACUCUCUGAUUUACAAGUGGUACCUCCCAAAUUUAACGAUAGACCAAUCCAUUUUAGAAAUAUAACAAGGUAAAGGUUAAAGCUAUGCAAUGAUAUUUUAAUACAGAAUGGUUGGACCAAACAUACUAAAAGUAUACAAAUAUUUGCAAAGGUUCAUUACAUAUUAGUUUGUAUGGACAUAGCACAUGUAAUGUACAUAUAUCUUGUGUAUCAUGUUUACAAUAAGUAAGUAAAAAUCUAAUGAAGUAGA
Long non-coding RNA from Mercenaria mercenaria, 5931 nucleotides. RefSeq lists it as uncharacterized. NCBI's taxonomy places the organism in Eukaryota, Metazoa, Mollusca, Bivalvia, Venerida, Veneridae. The transcript is spliced from 2 exons. The record is from RefSeq and is a predicted model, not a curated record.